Molecule: ribozyme, 61 nt
Filed under: Bacteroides faecis
Lineage: Bacteria; Pseudomonadati; Bacteroidota; Bacteroidia; Bacteroidales; Bacteroidaceae
Also listed under: 2 other names
Description: HDV ribozyme from F. prausnitzii
Rfam family: HDV ribozyme from F. prausnitzii
Source: RNAcentral
AAAUCACACACCUCUCCGUGGUGAGUAGCAGGCAACGACCUUAUGGUCGGCGAAGAUGUGA